AAAAAAUAUUUAAAACAUAACAUGAUAUCACGUGCGCACGUGAGUUUAAUAACAAGUAAAUAAAUAGCUGAUCUUGUUGUUGGAAAAUUGUUUGAAAAUACGAUGCUUUAUGAAAUCUAAAGUUCAAAAAAAUUAUUUCAGGUUUAUAACUGCAAUUUGAAUUGCAAAGCAAUAAAGCUUGUGUGAUGGCAAUAAUGAACUCUUAUCAGAAAAAAAAUUGCAUAACUUAAUAUAAGACAAAUUUGUUGAUUAGCUCGCAACAUUGUUUUCAGACGAUAAAUAAAUCUAAAUUUUAUUUGGAAAAGAAGUAGAAUGCAACAUUCAAAAAGUGACUUUUAGAUCAAGUCUGUAUAUCUGUCGAAAACCAAUUUUGUCUAGUUAAAGCAAUGCUAUAGCCGAGCCCAUAUCUCAAUCUCUCUGAAUAUAUAUCUGUCAAAGAUUGAUCUACAAAUUUGGGCAUUUUCUUUAUUUCUUUUUGUUAGGCUUUACCUGAAUAUUUGCUGCCUAUUAUUUUUUUCAAAAAAAAUAUGACUAAA
Molecule: long non-coding RNA, 536 nt
Organism: Hydra vulgaris (swiftwater hydra)
Lineage: Eukaryota; Metazoa; Cnidaria; Hydrozoa; Anthoathecata; Hydridae
Source: RefSeq, a predicted model, not a curated record